RNAcentral lists this ribosomal RNA (352 nucleotides) under uncultured bacterium. RNAcentral's name for it is "bacterial SSU rRNA". It matches the Rfam family "Bacterial small subunit ribosomal RNA", at positions 29 to 408 of the family's 1533-position model. The record is from RNAcentral.
AACGAACGCUGGCGGCAUGCCUAACACAUGCAAGUCGAACGAGACCUUCGGGUCUAGUGGCGCACGGGUGCGUAACGCGUGGGAAUUUGCCUCGGGGUACGGAAUAACUCAGGGAAACUUGAGCUAAUACCGUAUGAUGUCUUCGGACCAAAGAUUUAUCGCCCUGAGAUAAGCCCGCGUAGGAUUAGCUAGUUGGUGAGGUAAGAGCUCACCAAGGCGACGAUCCUUAGCUGGUCUGAGAGGAUGAUCAGCCACACUGGGACUGAGACACGGCCCAGACUCCUACGGGAGGCAGCAGUGGGGAAUAUUGGACAAUGGGCGAAAGCCUGAUCCAGCAAUGCCGCGUGAGUGA